GCACAUCCCUAGGAGAUACCGUAAUCAAGAAGGUGGUUUUCCCAGGGUGAGGCCUGUCUGCUGCAGUCUGGGCAGGCUGAUCCUUGCAAGUCUCCCUCAUGCAGGAAACUUGACCACACAGUUGUGUGGUAAUGGAGGACCAUGUUUCUCUCUGGCUUCCU
Molecule: small nuclear RNA, 161 nt
Filed under: Crocodylus porosus (Australian saltwater crocodile)
Lineage: Eukaryota; Metazoa; Chordata; Crocodylia; Crocodylidae
Description: U1 spliceosomal RNA (ENSCPRG00005006399.1)
Rfam family: U1 spliceosomal RNA
About the family: U1 is a small nuclear RNA (snRNA) component of the spliceosome (involved in pre-mRNA splicing).
Source: RNAcentral